Molecule: ribosomal RNA, 253 nt
Filed under: uncultured bacterium
Lineage: Bacteria
Description: partial 16S ribosomal RNA
Rfam family: Bacterial small subunit ribosomal RNA
Source: RNAcentral
UACGGAGGGUGCGAGCGUUGUUCGGAAUCACUGGGCGUAAAGGGCGUGUAGGCGGUCUGUUAAGUCUGAUGUGAAAGCCCGGGGCUCACCCCCGGAAGUGCAUUGGAUACUGGCGGACUCGAGUCCCGGAGAGGAGGGUGGAAUUCCUGGUGUAGCGGUGAAAUGCGUAGAUAUCUGGAGGAACACCGGUGGCGAAGGCGGCAUCCUGGACCGACACUGACACUGAGGAGCGAAAGCCAGGGGAGCAAACGGG